This 403-nucleotide ribosomal RNA is filed under the name Fusobacteriota bacterium. RNAcentral's name for it is "Fusobacteria bacterium partial 16S ribosomal RNA". It matches the Rfam family "Bacterial small subunit ribosomal RNA", at positions 355 to 776 of the family's 1533-position model. Lineage: Bacteria; Fusobacteriati; Fusobacteriota. The record is from RNAcentral.
UGGGGAAUUUUGCACAAUGGAGGAAACUCUGAUGCAGCGACGCCGCGUGAGUGAUGAAGAUCUUCGGAUUGUAAAACUCUGUCCUUAGUGAAGAUAAUGACAGUAACUAAGAAGCAAGCCCUGGCUAAAUACGUGCCAGCAGCCGCGGUAAUACGUAUGGGGCAAGCGUUGUCCGGAAUUAUUGGGCGUAAUGGGUACGUAGGCGGUUUAAUAAGUCCUAAUUAAAAGGCUAUGGCUCAACCAUAGUAUGGUUAGGAAACUGUUGAACUUGAGUAGAUGAGGGGAAAGUGGAAUUCCAUGUGUAGCGGUGAAAUGCGUAGAUAUAUGGAGGAACACCAAUGGCGAAGGCAACUUUCUGGAAUCAAACUGACGCUGAGGUACGAAGGCGUGGGGAGCAAACAGG